Molecule: ribosomal RNA, 1347 nt
Filed under: Synechococcus sp. KORDI-69
Lineage: Bacteria; Bacillati; Cyanobacteriota; Cyanophyceae; Synechococcales; Synechococcaceae
Description: bacterial SSU rRNA
Rfam family: Bacterial small subunit ribosomal RNA
Source: RNAcentral
GGACGGGUGAGUAACGCGUGGGAAUCUGCCCUCAGGAGGGGGAUAACGGCUGGAAACGGCCGCUAAUACCCCAUAUGCCGAGAGGUGAAAUGAAUUUCGCCUGAGGAUGAGCCCGCGUCUGAUUAGCUAGUUGGUGAGGUAAGAGCUCACCAAGGCAUCGAUCAGUAGCUGGUCUGAGAGGAUGAUCAGCCACACUGGGACUGAGACACGGCCCAGACUCCUACGGGAGGCAGCAGUGGGGAAUUUUCCGCAAUGGGCGAAAGCCUGACGGAGCAACGCCGCGUGAGGGAUGAAGGCCUCUGGGCUGUAAACCUCUUUUCUCAAGGAAGAAGAUCUGACGGUACUUGAGGAAUAAGCCACGGCUAAUUCCGUGCCAGCAGCCGCGGUAAUACGGGAGUGGCAAGCGUUAUCCGGAAUUAUUGGGCGUAAAGCGUCCGCAGGCGGCCCUUCAAGUCUGCUGUUAAAAAGUGGAGCUUAACUCCAUCAUGGCAGUGGAAACUGUUGGGCUUGAGUGUGGUAGGGGCAGAGGGAAUUCCCGGUGUAGCGGUGAAAUGCGUAGAUAUCGGGAAGAACACCAGUGGCGAAGGCGCUCUGCUGGGCCAUAACUGACGCUCAUGGACGAAAGCCAGGGGAGCGAAAGGGAUUAGAUACCCCUGUAGUCCUGGCCGUAAACGAUGAACACUAGGUGUCGGGGGAAUCGACCCCCUCGGUGUCGUAGCCAACGCGUUAAGUGUUCCGCCUGGGGAGUACGCACGCAAGUGUGAAACUCAAAGGAAUUGACGGGGGCCCGCACAAGCGGUGGAGUAUGUGGUUUAAUUCGAUGCAACGCGAAGAACCUUACCAGGAUUUGACAUCCUGCGAACCUCUUGGAAACGAGAGGGUGCCUUCGGGAACGCAGUGACAGGUGGUGCAUGGCUGUCGUCAGCUCGUGUCGUGAGAUGUUGGGUUAAGUCCCGCAACGAGCGCAACCCACGUCUUUAGUUGCCAGCAUUUAGUUGGGCACUCUAGAGAGACCGCCGGUGAUAAACCGGAGGAAGGUGUGGAUGACGUCAAGUCAUCAUGCCCCUUACAUCCUGGGCUACACACGUACUACAAUGCUACGGACAAAGAGCAGCAAGUUCGCGAGGACAAGCAAAUCUCAUAAACCGUGGCUCAGUUCAGAUCGUAGGCUGCAACUCGCCUACGUGAAGGAGGAAUCGCUAGUAAUCGCAGGUCAGCAUACUGCGGUGAAUACGUUCCCGGGCCUUGUACACACCGCCCGUCACACCAUGGAAGUUGGCCACGCCCGAAGCCGUUACUCCAACCCUCGGGAGGAGGACGUCGAAGGUGGGGCUGAUGACUGGGGUG